RNAcentral lists this transfer RNA (69 nucleotides) under Eopsaltria australis (eastern yellow robin). RNAcentral describes it as "tRNA-Ala". It matches the Rfam family "tRNA". Rfam says of the family: Transfer RNA (tRNA) molecules are approximately 80 nucleotides in length. Their secondary structure includes four short double-helical elements and three loops (D, anti-codon, and T loops). Further hydrogen bonds mediate the characteristic L-shaped molecular structure. tRNAs have two regions of fundamental functional importance: the anti-codon, which is responsible for specific mRNA codon recognition, and the 3' end, to which the tRNAs corresponding amino acid is attached (by aminoacyl-tRNA synthetases). tRNAs cope with the degeneracy of the genetic code in two manners: having more than one tRNA (with a specific anti-codon) for a particular amino acid; and 'wobble' base-pairing, i.e. permitting non-standard base-pairing at the 3rd anti-codon position. Lineage: Eukaryota; Metazoa; Chordata; Aves; Passeriformes; Petroicidae. The record is from RNAcentral.
GAGAUCCUAGCUUAAUUAAAGCACCUGGGUUGCAUCCAGGGGAUGUAGGGUAGUAUCCUGCGGAUUUUA